Small nuclear RNA from Lemur catta (Ring-tailed lemur), 107 nucleotides. The record is from RefSeq and is a predicted model, not a curated record. Lineage: Eukaryota; Metazoa; Chordata; Mammalia; Primates; Lemuridae.
GUGCUUGUUUCGGCAGCACAUGUACUAAAAUUGGAACCAUACAGGGAAGAUUAGGAUGGCCCCUAUGCAAGGAUGACAGUGUUCCGUAAAAAAAAAUUAAUAAAAAC